Molecule: non-coding RNA, 465 nt
Organism: Myodes glareolus (Bank vole)
Lineage: Eukaryota; Metazoa; Chordata; Mammalia; Rodentia; Cricetidae
Source: RefSeq, a predicted model, not a curated record
GUGGAGGCUGUCCUGCCUGCGAGAGUCCCGACAGCCGCCUGCUGGGCUCCGGGGUGACGUGGGCUGGCUUGUAACAGCGUCUCGGCUUGCGGGAUGCAGUGCCUCCAUGUGCGGACAAUCAAAGGAAGGGGGUCACUCCAGACCUUACAAGUGGUAGGAAGAUUCAACCUCAACCUCGAAGGACUGAAUCCUGAAUAGCCAUACAGAGGUGUGGUUGUUGAUUAUUACAUAAUAGAUUUUUGUGGGGUGGGGGUUAAAACAAGUUCAUGCCAAAGUCCAUGAUGUAAUCCAUAUGUUUCUUGAAGGAGAGAAUCACACCCCUGCAACUUCAGUUCUCAUUGUGCACUGUUACAGUACUCAGUAAUAUGAGAGUUCCAGGUGUACCAUGAAUACUUGUGACCAAAGUCACACAAUGACUGUACAGCUCCUUCAGUAAAAACAACUCAAUAAAUUGUUACACCAAGA